Molecule: non-coding RNA, 213 nt
Organism: Vicia faba (fava bean)
Lineage: Eukaryota; Viridiplantae; Streptophyta; Magnoliopsida; Fabales; Fabaceae
Source: the annotation of a GenBank genome assembly
AUGAGAAAGAUGAGCUGUUCCUCAUCUUUUGAAGACAGCCACCAGAGCUGCACAAACACAAAAAGCCAACCAAUUUCAGAAUGUUCCCACUCUCUCUCUCUCUCUCUUUCUUUCUCUCUCAACUCUCAAGAAAUGGCUUUUGAAUUAGUAGUAGCACUUUCUUGCCCCCACCAUCCCCUAACUUUUCCUUUUCACUUUUCUAUUCUCUCAUGA